AUCUAUAGCCAUACCACCCUGAACACGCCUGAUCUUGUCUGAUCUCAGAAGCUAAGCAGGGUAGGGCCUGGUUAGUACUUGCAUGGGAGAAAUGCAGAAGACCUGUAGGCA
Molecule: ribosomal RNA, 111 nt
Filed under: Microcebus murinus (gray mouse lemur)
Lineage: Eukaryota; Metazoa; Chordata; Mammalia; Primates; Cheirogaleidae
Source: RNAcentral